GCAGAGGUCGCUUAGCCUGGUAGAGCGCGGGCCUUGAGAGCCUGUGUGUGCAAGCACGCGGGGGUUCGAAUCCCUCUCUCUGCG
This 84-nucleotide transfer RNA is filed under the name Nitrosopumilales archaeon. RNAcentral describes it as "tRNA-Ser". It matches the Rfam family "tRNA". From Rfam's summary of the family: Transfer RNA (tRNA) molecules are approximately 80 nucleotides in length. Their secondary structure includes four short double-helical elements and three loops (D, anti-codon, and T loops). Lineage: Archaea; Thermoproteati; Nitrososphaerota; Nitrososphaeria; Nitrosopumilales. The record is from RNAcentral. RNAcentral also lists the same sequence under 11 other names.